GUGCUUGCUUCGGCAGCACAUAUACUAAAAUGGGAAUGAUAUAGAGAUUAGUAUGGCCGUCAUGCAAAGAUGACAUGCAAAUUUGUGAAGCAGUCCAUAUUUUA
Molecule: small nuclear RNA, 104 nt
Organism: Mustela putorius furo (domestic ferret)
Lineage: Eukaryota; Metazoa; Chordata; Mammalia; Carnivora; Mustelidae
Source: Ensembl